GCGGCGAUGGUCUACCGGUCAAGACGCUGCGUCAAUGUGUCUUGCAAACACAAGCUCUUUCGGACAUCAAUUUCGCAGAGUUGCGAGGUGUCCACUAUGGAAGACGCAGAGAUCGUGAGUUCGAAUCUUACUCGCCGCA
This 139-nucleotide transfer RNA is filed under the name Aureobasidium melanogenum CBS 110374. It matches the Rfam family "tRNA". Rfam says of the family: Transfer RNA (tRNA) molecules are approximately 80 nucleotides in length. Their secondary structure includes four short double-helical elements and three loops (D, anti-codon, and T loops). The record is from Rfam by way of RNAcentral. Lineage: Eukaryota; Fungi; Ascomycota; Dothideomycetes; Dothideales; Saccotheciaceae.